UCAAUUACAAAAGCUUUUGGGCCACAAUGUAAUUAUUUGAAAGUUGGGGGGCUAAAUUACAAAUUUUCCAGAUUAUCAUACAAAGCUUGGAAAUCAUCUUCUACAACUCUCUCCUACAACAUUCUGUCAGCGGCAAUGGCUACCGCUAACGGUGCUACCAAUUACUGAUCGCCGGCAAUUUUUUCGGUUACCAAAUUUUCUCAAAAUACACCCUCUCACUUAAUUUUUCGCGUAGAUUCCAUUUCUGAACUUAGUUUUUAACAAAAAAUGAAUCAAAAAAUGGCGAAAUUGCCAAAAUACAGCCACAAUUUUUAUUUUUAAAC
RNAcentral lists this long non-coding RNA (323 nucleotides) under Coffea arabica (coffee). Its description in RNAcentral is "long non-coding RNA (CARA_LNC003254)". Lineage: Eukaryota; Viridiplantae; Streptophyta; Magnoliopsida; Gentianales; Rubiaceae. The record is from RNAcentral.